RNAcentral lists this ribosomal RNA (560 nucleotides) under Sillago sihama (northern whiting). Its description in RNAcentral is "partial 16S ribosomal RNA". It matches the Rfam family "Bacterial large subunit ribosomal RNA", at positions 782 to 1825 of the family's 2925-position model. The record is from RNAcentral. Lineage: Eukaryota; Metazoa; Chordata; Actinopteri; Sillaginidae.
GUCUCUGUGGCAAAAGAGUGGAAAGAGCUCCGAGUAGUGGUGACAGACCUAUCGAACCUAGUUAUAGCUGGUUGCCUGAGAGAUGGAUAAGAGUUCAGCCUCAUGGCUUCUUCCCAAACCAUGGGAGUUAAUCAAAGGAGGCCCAGCUCCUUUGAUAAAAGACACAACUUUCAUAGGAGGGUAUAGAUCAUACUUCCCCUAAGGCUCAGUGUCCUGGUGGGCCUAAGAGCAGCCAUCCAUAUAAAAAGCGUUAAAGCUCAAACACGUAAUAAUGAUAAUUACAUCUCAACCCCCUUAAACCCUAUCAGGCCGUUCCAUACCUCUAUGGAAGCGAUUAUGCUAGAAUUAGUAAUAAGAGGGGACCCUCUCCCAGCACACGUGUUCCUCGACCCGGACCAACCAUCGAACUUUAACGGCCCCCAUAGCAGAGGGAAGUGAUUAACAACAAGACAAACACUCACCGUUGACCCUACACAGGAGUGCCCCUUGGGAAAGACCAAAAGAAAAAGAAGGAACUCGGCAAACAAGCCUCGCCUGUUUACCAAAAACACCGCCUCUUG